GGAGCUAAAUUUGGAUUUGAGUAGAUUCCUAUGACGAUAUAGAGAGUAGGAAACCCAAAAUCCGAAUAUGAUAAAGUAAAUAAUCCAGAUUAGAUACUCCAAAUAAAAUAUUACGUUAGUGAACUUUGUUAUAAUUAGUUGGCUUAACUUUUUAUCUCACUUUUUCUUUUCUUUUUUUUGUCCCAAUGACUUAAGCAAACAUGAAGGAGGAAGGUUAAAAGGAAUGAGAAUAUAAUAGCCAAAUUGAUAUUAUCCUUUACCCUAUACUUUUUUAAAUUAUAUAAUAAAUAAAGAUCACUUGAAAAUCAGGUUGAAAGGCAAAGUGACUUUUCUUUUAUUCGCUGUCUAAGAGUGUAGUCCAC
This 362-nucleotide long non-coding RNA is filed under the name Capsella rubella. RNAcentral describes it as "long non-coding RNA (CRUB_LNC001446)". The record is from RNAcentral. Lineage: Eukaryota; Viridiplantae; Streptophyta; Magnoliopsida; Brassicales; Brassicaceae.